AAAAAACUCUUUAAAAAC
This 18-nucleotide small RNA is filed under the name Arabidopsis thaliana (thale cress). RNAcentral describes it as "ATSL209220". Lineage: Eukaryota; Viridiplantae; Streptophyta; Magnoliopsida; Brassicales; Brassicaceae. The record is from RNAcentral.